AUUGAACGCUGGCGGCAGGCCUAACACAUGCAAGUCGAGCGGAUGAAGGGAGCUUGCUCCUGGAUUCAGCGGCGGACGGGUGAGUAAUGCCUAGGAAUCUGCCUGGUAGUGGGGGAUAACGUCCGGAAACGGGCGCUAAUACCGCAUACGUCCUGAGGGAGAAAGUGGGGGACUUUGGGACUCACGGCUUCCAGUUAGGCUAGGUCGGAUUAGCUAGUUGGUGGGGUAAAGGCCUACCAAGGCGACGAUCCGUAACUGGUCUGAGAGGAUGAUCAGUCACACUGGAACUGAGACACGGUCCAGACUCCUACGGGAGGCAGCAGUGGGGAAUAUUGGACAAUGGGCGAAAGCCUGAUCCAGCCAUGCCGCGUGUGUGAAGAAGGUCUUCGGAUUGUAAAGCACUUUAAGUUGGGAGGAAGGGCAGUAAGUUAAUACCUUGCUGUUUUGACGUUACCAACAGAAUAAGCACCGGCUAACUUCGUG
This 483-nucleotide ribosomal RNA is filed under the name uncultured bacterium. RNAcentral's name for it is "partial 16S ribosomal RNA". It matches the Rfam family "Bacterial small subunit ribosomal RNA", at positions 30 to 507 of the family's 1533-position model. The record is from RNAcentral.